GUGCUCAUUUUGGCAGCACAUAUACUAAAACUGGAAGGAUACAGAGAUGAUUAGCAUGGCCCUUGCACAAAGGAUGACAUGCAAAUUCGUGAACAGUUUCAUUUUUUU
Small nuclear RNA from Sorex fumeus (smoky shrew), 108 nucleotides. The record is from RefSeq and is a predicted model, not a curated record. NCBI's taxonomy places the organism in Eukaryota, Metazoa, Chordata, Mammalia, Eulipotyphla, Soricidae.